RNAcentral lists this long non-coding RNA (1019 nucleotides) under Fukomys damarensis (Damara mole-rat). RNAcentral describes it as "lncRNA (ENSFDAG00000032011.1)". The record is from RNAcentral. Lineage: Eukaryota; Metazoa; Chordata; Mammalia; Rodentia; Bathyergidae.
GAGGUGAGCACAGGCGAUGGGGUGCCAGAGGAAAGGCUGAGAAAGUGCAUUUCUGAGGUCUCCUUCAUCCCUUCUGCCUCACUUUUGACUUCAUGUUUUCUGUUGGAUGGAGAAAUGACUACAGCAGAAGUCAAAGCAGUCCUCUGUGGGUGAAAGUGCUGAUUUCUCCAAAGCAGGAACAGCUACUGCGUGGAGAUUCGAGCAGUGGCUACACCUUCCCCCACCUCCUCUUUAGUGCUACUAACAAGGGUUUGGAUUUUCUAUGGGGGUAGGUUGAAGAGUCUUGCCCCCAUUACACAGUCUGACAGCCUGUCUAUGGAGAAAAGACCUCCUAGAUGUGAAUCCUAGAAAAUGUUUUAGUUACCAUAUCCUUUUUGAAAAAAUUGUGGUAGGAUACAUUUCAGCUUUUUGAAGUGUAUCUUUCAGUAGUGUUAAUUACAUCCACAUUAUUGUGCUCUGACCUUCAGACCACUUUUCUUCUUGCAAAAUGAACACCUCAUCCCCAUUAAACCACGAAUCUCCUCAACACUCCCAGGCCCUCUACUUUCUGUUUGGCUGAAUUUGACUCCUUUAGGUCCCUCAUAGAAAUGGAGUCAUAUGGUAGCUGUCUUUCUGUGAUUGUUUUAUUUCACUUAGUGUAAUGUUUUUGACGCUCGUUCAUGUUGCAUCACGUGUACAGAUUCCCUUCCUCCAAAGACUGAACAAUAUUUCAUUGACUGUAUCCGCCACAUCUUGUUUAUUAAUUCAUCUGUUGGUGGGCACAGGUUGUUUCUACCUUUGCUUCCAGCUACUAGGAACAAUGCUUCUGUCAUCAUAAGUGUACAGAUAUCUCCUUGAUGGGGGGAUGGAUAUGAGUAAAAUAUAUUAUACAUAUUGAACCCCCCAAUGUGAAACUAAGGAGGAGCACAGUGCAAAGGGAGUAACUGAAGAGAGAUUGAUCAAAAUAUGUUAUGUGCACGUGCAAAUCUGCCAAAAUAAAACCCAUUAAUCUGUAUAACCAAUAAAAAGAGAAUGAGAAG